Long non-coding RNA from Dromaius novaehollandiae (emu), 1147 nucleotides. RefSeq lists it as uncharacterized. The record is from RefSeq and is a predicted model, not a curated record. The transcript is spliced from 3 exons. NCBI's taxonomy places the organism in Eukaryota, Metazoa, Chordata, Aves, Casuariiformes, Dromaiidae.
CUUCAUCGUUGAGCUGCAAACCACAAUCCUAGAAGACAGACAUACAUCCUAGAUCAGUGAGUGAUUCAGCAUUGAUCUGGACAAACCUGAAAUGUCUGAUUCAGUGAGAGCUGGCAUUUGGAUUAGGCUCUGCUCACUCUUUAAAUCUGUCUGGACUGGAAAAGAAUAAUAGUCUCGGAUCUCAGCAGCACUGCUUUUCUACGUGAUGGUAGCCCUGUGGACACUGCUGCUUAAAGACUUCAGAGACUUUUUUGGACUCCGGUUGGUCUGCUAUUUCAAAACACCAAUUUUCUUCAAUUAGCAGACCUGCAGCUCGCUAUGUCUGCAACGUCUGUUAGCGCUCAACCUUAUGCUUCUCAGCCAUGGUGCCGAAGUUCUUAUAUCAACCCUUGCUUUAAAAAUUUGUCCUCUGGGAUGAAUUGCUGGGAGAAAAUCCAGACCUCCCCCACCAAAGUCAAUGAGAGUUCUGCCACCAGCUUCAAUGGACGUCUAGCUUCCUGAUAUGGGAUACGGCACUACUGUGUUCUGUUAUAAUGAGAGGUGAAUCCAAACUGCCAGCUCUGCCAAAGUGCACAGGCCAAAUCAAGAUUUGAAUAUCCCUAAAGACUCCAAAAUUUAUAUUUUAAGCUCAUCUGUAGGCUUGAUGCAACACUUCAAUUCAAAAUAUCCCAAUAAAUUAGCCUUACUUCACCACUGUCACAUCUGUUUAUAAAAUUAAACCAGGACCACUGGCAUACUACAAUUGUUGUAGUAUGUACAAUAGUACAUACUACUUUUUUUUUUUUUUGGCAGGGAGGGUUUGGAGUGAGACACACACGAGUAACAACAUGAACCCUCCUGCACAGAUUGCAGUUAACAUGCUAUAAUCUGUUUGCCUUUGUUGAUAGUAUUGGGGAGCAGAGCAAUGUUUGGCAUUCAUCCUUCUUUUCACUGCAUGUGCUUUGAAUCUGUCCAUGUUUGAUUAGUGGUACCAGUGCUCUGCAGCUUGAAAGCACCUUCUUUCCUAACCUAGAAUGGUGAGAGGCUUCAAAAUGCUCACAGACUUCAUUCGGCUUCUGUGCAUCACGAAUAUUGUGGCAAAUUCCUUCUCCAGCUUUGAUUCCAUUAUUCUGCUAAACUUAUCAAUAAACAUCUGUGUCUGCCUGUU